Molecule: non-coding RNA, 73 nt
Organism: Dictyocaulus viviparus (bovine lungworm)
Lineage: Eukaryota; Metazoa; Nematoda; Chromadorea; Rhabditida; Metastrongylidae
Source: Rfam
UCGUCGGUAGUGCAACCAGUAUGCACAAUAAACCGGGGAUUUGUAGAUGUGGUUUCGAAUCCCACCUGAUGUU